AGAGUUUGAUCCUGGCUGAGAGUGAACGCUGGCGGCGUGCUUAACACAUGCAAGUCGAGCGAAGCGGCAGCUGUAGCAAUACAGUAUGUGCUUAGCGGCAGACGGGUGGGUAACACGUAGACAAUCUACCUUCUAGAGGGGGAUAGCCCGCCGAAAGGCGGGGUAAUACCGCGUAAGAUCAAAUUCCGGCAUCGGGAUCUGAUGAAACGUCCGCAAGGACGGCUAGAAGAGGAGUCUGCGGCCUAUCAGCUAGUUGGCGGGGUAAUGGCCCACCAAGGCAACGACGGGUAUCCGGCCUGAAAGGGUGAUCGGACACACUGACACUGAGACACGGGUCAGACUCCUACGGGAGGCAGCGGUGAGGAAUUUUGGACAAUGGGGAAACCCUGAUCCAGCGACGCCGCGUGAAGGAUGAAGGUCUUCGGAUCGUAAACUUCUUUUGCUUGGGAAUAACCGCCCCAUAGAAAUAUGGGGAAUGAAUGUACCAGGCGAAUAAGCCACGGCUAACUUCGUGCCAGCAGCCGCGGUAAUACGUAGGGUGCAAGCGUUAAUCGGAAUUACUGGGCGUAAAGCGUGCGCAGGCGGUUUCGCAAGUCAGAUGUGAAAUCCCCGGGCUCAACCUGGGAACUGCAUUUGAAACUACGAGGCUAGAGUGUGUCAGAGGGGGGUAGAAUUCCACGUGUAGCAGUGAAAUGCGUAGAGAUGUGGAGGAAUACCGAUGGCGAAGGCAGCCCCCUGGGAUAACACUGACGCUCAUGCACGAAAGCGUGGGGAGCAAACAGGAUUAGAUACCCUGGUAGUCCACGCCCUAAACGAUGUCAACUAGUUGUCGGGGAUUAAUUUCCUUGGUAACGCAGCUAACGCGUGAAGUUGACCGCCUGGGGAGUACGGUCGCAAGAUUAAAACUCAAAGGAAUUGACGGGGACCCGCACAAGCGGUGGAUGAUGUGGAUUAAUUCGAUGCAACGCGAAAAACCUUACCUACCCUUGACAUGUCAGGAACCCUGCUGAAAGGUGGGGGUGCUCGAAAGAGAACCUGAACACAGGUGCUGCAUGGCUGUCGUCAGCUCGUGUCGUGAGAUGUUGGGUUAAGUCCCGCAACGAGCGCAACCCUUGUCAUUAGUUGCUACGAAAGGGCACUCUAAUGAGACUGCCGGUGACAAACCGGAGGAAGGUGGGGAUGACGUCAAGUCCUCAUGGCCCUUAUGGGUAGGGCUUCACACGUCAUACAAUGGUCGGUACAGAGGGCUGCCAACCCGCGAGGGGGAGCU
This 1270-nucleotide ribosomal RNA is filed under the name uncultured Burkholderiales bacterium. RNAcentral's name for it is "partial 16S ribosomal RNA". It matches the Rfam family "Bacterial small subunit ribosomal RNA", at positions 8 to 1269 of the family's 1533-position model. Lineage: Bacteria; Pseudomonadati; Pseudomonadota; Betaproteobacteria; Burkholderiales. The record is from RNAcentral.